RNAcentral lists this ribosomal RNA (301 nucleotides) under uncultured bacterium. RNAcentral describes it as "partial 16S ribosomal RNA". It matches the Rfam family "Bacterial small subunit ribosomal RNA", at positions 509 to 807 of the family's 1533-position model. The record is from RNAcentral.
CAGCCGCCGCGGUAAAACGAAGGGUGCAAGCGUUACUCGGAAUUAUUGGGCGUAAAGCGUGCGUAGGUGGUGGUUUAAGUCCGUUGUGAAAGCCCUGGGCUCAACCUGGGAAUUGCAGUGGAUACUGGGUCACUAGAGUGUGGUAGAGGAUAGUGGAAUUUCCGGUGUAGCAGUGAAAUGCGUAGAGAUCGGAAGGAACAUCUGUGGCGAAGGCGACUAUCUGGGCCAACACUGACACUGAGGCACGAAAGCGUGGGGAGCAAACAGGAUUAGAUACCCGCGUAGUCCCUGUCUCUUAUAC